RNAcentral lists this ribosomal RNA (1450 nucleotides) under marine metagenome. Its description in RNAcentral is "bacterial LSU rRNA". It matches the Rfam family "Bacterial large subunit ribosomal RNA", at positions 842 to 2252 of the family's 2925-position model. The record is from RNAcentral.
GAGAUAGCUGGUUCUCCCCGAAAUGUAUUUAGGUACAGCCUCAAUCGUAGUCUUAAGGAGGUAGGGCACUGGAUGGGAUAGGGGGCGUAAGCUUACCAAACCUAACCAAACCACGAAUGCCUUAAGAUGUUCAUUGGGAGUGAGACAGUGGGGGAUAAGCUUCAUUGUCGAAAGGGAAACAGCCCAGACCGCAGGUUAAGGCCCCUAAAUGUGAACUAAGUGUGAAAGGAAGUAAGAUUCCUAAAACAGCUAGGAGGUUGGCUUAGAAGCAGCCAUCCUUUGAAGAGUGCGUAACUGCUCACUAGUCGAGGAAUCUUGCGCCGAAAAUGUAACGGGGCUAAGUUCACUGCCGAAACCGCGGAUCUAAUAAUUUAUUAUUAGGUGGUAGGGGAGCGUUGUUAUCAGCAUAGAAGCUCAAAUGUGAGUUUGAGUGGAGCAAUGACAAGUGAGAAUGGCGGCAUGAGUAGCGACAAUCCUGGUGAGAAUCCAGGACACCGAAAGCACCAAGGUUUCCUACACAACGCUGAUCGAUGUAGGGUAAGUCGGGCCUAAGCCGUAGCGUGCAAGCGAAGGCGAUGGACAACGGGUUAAUAUUCCCGUACUGCUACUAUUUUGUUAUAAAGUAAAGGGGGGACACGGAAAGGUAAACGAAGCGUGCCUAUUGGACAUGGUACGUUCUAUCCCGUAGGCCAAGCUAUAAUAGGCAAAUCCGUUAUAGCGUUACGAGCUGAGAGGAUGGAGAACUUUCGGGCUUCGGCCCUAGGGAACUUCGUUGAUCCUAUACCGUCGAGAAAAGCCUCGUUACAAGAAAUAGAAGCAUCCGUACCGCAAACCGACACAGGUAGGCUGGGGUAAGUGUCCCAAGGUGAACGAGAUAACCCUCCUUAAGGAAUUCGACAAAUUAGCCCUGUAACUUUGGGAGAAAGGGUGCCCAUGAGGUGAAAUCCACUUGCUGGAUGGAGGCCUUUGUGGGUCGCAGCAAAGAGGCUCAGGCGACUGUUUAUCAAAAACACAGGUGUCUGCUAAACCGAAAGGUGAUGUAUAGGCGCUGACGCCUGCCCAGUGCCGGAAGGUUAAGGGAAUGGGUUCGUUAAAUUCGUUUAACAAAGCUCAGAACCGAAGCCCCGGUGAACGGCGGCCGUAACUAUAACGGUCCUAAGGUAGCGAAGUCCCUUGUCGGGUAAGUUCCGACCUGCACGAAUGGCGUCACGACCUGAGCGUUGUCUCAAGGGGGGACUCGGUGAAAUUGCAAGGCCAGUGAAGAUGCUGGCUACCCGCAACAGGACAAAAAGACCCCGUGGAGCUUUACUGCAACUUGACAGUGGAUUGUGGUUAUAUAUGUGUAGGAUAGGCGGGAGACUUUGAAGCUAUCACGCCAGUGAUAGUGGAGUCAACCUUGAAAUACCGCUCUUCUAUGACCUAUGUCCUAACCCCUUUGAAAUAGGGGGAC